This 301-nucleotide ribosomal RNA is filed under the name uncultured bacterium. RNAcentral's name for it is "partial 16S ribosomal RNA". It matches the Rfam family "Bacterial small subunit ribosomal RNA", at positions 509 to 807 of the family's 1533-position model. The record is from RNAcentral.
CAGUAGCCACGGUAAUGCGAAGGGGGCUAGCGUUGUUCGGAUUUACCGGGCGUAAAGGGCGCGUAGGCGGACUGAUAAGUCAGGGGUGAAAUCCCAAGGCUCAACCUUGGAACUGCCUUUGAUACUGUUUGUCUUGAGUUCGAGAGAGGUAAGUGGAACUGCGAGUGUAGAGGUGAAAUUCGUAGAUAUUCGCAAGAACACCAGUGGCGAAGGCGGCUUACUGGCUCGAAACUGACGCUGAGGCGCGAAAGCGUGGGGAGCAAACAGGAUUAGAUACCCCUGUAGUCCCUGUCUCUUAUAC